This 301-nucleotide ribosomal RNA is filed under the name uncultured bacterium. RNAcentral's name for it is "partial 16S ribosomal RNA". It matches the Rfam family "Bacterial small subunit ribosomal RNA", at positions 509 to 807 of the family's 1533-position model. The record is from RNAcentral.
CAGCCGCCGCGGUAAUACGAAGGGGGCUAGCGUUGUUCGGAUUUACUGGGCGUAAAGGGUGCGUAGGCGGAUUGUUAAGUCAGGGGUGAAAUCCCGAGGCUCAACCUCGGAACUGCCUUUGAUACUGGCGAUCUUGAGUCCGGGAGAGGUGAGUGGAACUGCGAGUGUAGAGGUGAAAUUCGUAGAUAUUCGCAAGAACACCGGUGGCGAAGGCGGCUCACUGGCCCGGAACUGACGCUGAGGCACGAAAGCGUGGGGAGCAAACAGGAUUAGAUACCCCCGUAGUCCCUGUCUCUUAUAC